GCCCUUCUAAACCAAUGUGGGACGUAGUCUUCUCCAUUGAUGCUCAAAAAAUUCAUGGCAACUAGUGCAUGACAACAUGGGAUUCCUGUUAAAGUCCACUUGCUACAAUUGCAUUUCAGUUUAUCUAUGUUAACCAUAUACUUCUCACAAAUCAUUGAAGUGUGUUUGACCUCAAAAAUUUUCUAUCCUGACCAACUGCAA
Molecule: long non-coding RNA, 201 nt
Filed under: Vigna radiata
Lineage: Eukaryota; Viridiplantae; Streptophyta; Magnoliopsida; Fabales; Fabaceae
Description: long non-coding RNA (VRAD_LNC007828)
Source: RNAcentral